RNAcentral lists this ribosomal RNA (483 nucleotides) under uncultured bacterium. Its description in RNAcentral is "partial 16S ribosomal RNA". It matches the Rfam family "Bacterial small subunit ribosomal RNA", at positions 29 to 506 of the family's 1533-position model. The record is from RNAcentral.
AGUGAACGCUGGCGGUAGGCCUAACACAUGCAAGUCGAGCGGCAGCACAGUACUUGCUCCUUCAUUCGGGUGGCGACUGGCGGUUGGGUGCGGAAUAUCUGGGUAUUUACUUUUUAUAGGGGGCGAAAGUGGGGACUAAUACGCCAUUCCCGCUUAGGAAGUACGGGUGGAAGCAUGGGACCUUCGGCUAUCGCGUGAUCCUAUGUCGCAUUGUCUGAUUGGCGGGUUAAAGGCCCACCAAGGCGACGAGCCGAAGCUGGUCUGAGAGUAUGAUCAGCCACACGGGAACUGAGACACGGUCCAGACUCCUACGGGAGGCAGCAGGGGGGAAUAUUGGACAAGGGGCGCAAGCCUGAUCCAGCCAGACCGCGGGGGUGAAGAAGGCCUUCGGGUUGUAAAGCCCUUUUGUUGGGAAAGAAAAGCAGCAGGUUAAAACCCCGCUGUUCUGACGGUACCCAAAGAAUAAACACCGGCUAACUUCUU